UGGGGGAUAUUGCACAAUGGGCGAAAGCCUGAUGCAGCGACGCCGCGUGGGGGAUGAAGGCUUUCGGGUUGUAAACCUCUUUCGCUAUCGAACAAGGCCCGCUUAGGGUGGGUUGAGGGUAGGUGGAGAAGAAGCGCCGGCUAACUACGUGCCAGCAGCCGCGGUAAUACGUAGGGCGCGAGCGUUGUCCGGAAUUAUUAGGCGUAAAGGGCUUGUAGGCGGCUUGUUGCGCCUGCUGUGAAAACGCGGGGCUUAACUUCGCGCGUGCAGUGGGUACGGGCAGGCUUGAGUGUGGUAGGGGUGACUGGAAUUCCAGGUGUAGCGGUGGAAUGCGCAGAUAUCUGGAGGAACACCGAUGGCGAAGGCAGGUCACUGGGCCAUUACUGACGCUGAGGAGCGAAAGCAUGGGUAGCGAACAGG
RNAcentral lists this ribosomal RNA (420 nucleotides) under bacterium. RNAcentral describes it as "partial 16S ribosomal RNA". It matches the Rfam family "Bacterial small subunit ribosomal RNA", at positions 355 to 776 of the family's 1533-position model. The record is from RNAcentral.